AUCUCAAAAGCAUAAAGCAAACAAUCUCAUUAUAAAAUAGAUAGGUGAUCUGAACAGACAUUUCUCACUUGAUCUUAGCCAAAGGCCUAGAAACAAUGAACAAUCAUUUGUCAAAAGAAGACAUACAAAUCUCCAGUAAAUGUAUGAAAAAUCAUUAAAACUAAACAUCAAAACCUCAAUGAGGUAUUAUCUCAGUCAGGAUGAUGACUAUCAAAAAGAGGAAAAAAAAAAAAAAAAGAAGACAAAAAAUACAACCAAACAAAAAGCAACAUGUGGGCACAUCAAACUUAAGACAAACCUCUUAAAGGUAGCCAUGCAAAAAAAGAGAUCACUUUUGAAGAGGAAAAAUAAAAAAGGACAUAAUGUCUCAUAAGAUAUAAUGGAAGCCAGAAGGAAUAAAAUCUAUCUUUGAAAUGAUAAAACAGCUGCUUAUUCAGCAAAAAGGUUCUUAGAAAAUGAAAGUAAAAUACGACAGUUUCAGGAGAGAAAAUCUGAAAGAAUUUGUUACCAGUAGACAUAUAAAGAUAUAUUAAAGUAUGUCUUCAAGAAGAAGAAAUAAGAUUUCAGAUGGAAGCUCAGAUUCCAGGAACCACAAAACACAAUAAAAGUAAAUCUUUGGGAAAUUGCAUAUUGAAUAAAAAACAAUAAUGAGAAUAAUAAAAUAAUAAAAAUUUAUUCUCAAAAUUUAAAUUCUUUAAAUAAUGAGAAUUUAAAAAUAAAAAAAUGAAAAUUUAGGAAAUACAUAUUAAGAAUAUACAAAGUAUGUAAUAUGGAGUGUGGAAGUAAAUGAAGUGUUCUCAGGUCCUUACAUUGUCCUGGAAGAAGUAUAAUACCAAAUUACCUUAGAAGAUGAUAAACCCAAGUUCCAUGUUUUAAUACCUGAGGUGAAUAGUUAAAAAAGAAAAUAAAAGAUAUCUGUCAAGCUUUGGGGUAGGAAAAAUGGAAUAAUUAAAAAUAAUCUAAAAGGUCUACAGCCAUACCACCCUGAAUAUGCUGUUCUCAUCUGAUCUGAGAAGCUAAGCAGGGUUGGGGCUGUUUGGCAGUUGGAUCAGAGUCUCCCUCGGAAUACCAGAUGUUACAGGCUGAAUUCAAAAAGAAAUCCAAAAGGCAAAAGAGCAAAUGAACCUAGGAGAGGUGGGACAAAUAAAAAAGGAACAAGGAAAAAUUUAAAUCCAAAUAUGUUAGUAAUUAUGUUACAUGUAAUCAGACUAGAUACUCCAAUUAAAAAACAAAUUACCAAAGUGGAUUUUAAAAAUGUAUUUUAUCACUCUUUGUAUUAAAAUGUUCUAAUUUUUUUUCCAUUUGCACAAAGAAUAAAGUCUAAAUUCUUUCCUAUCUUUCAAAGGUAACAUGAUCUAGCCCUUUCCUAUGCCUCUAAAGUUACAGUAUUCUCCUGUUAAGUCACUAUGCUCUAAUCACAAAGGCCUUCUUUUGUCUCCUGAAGUAUUCUAAGCUAGAUCAUGCCUUAGAUUCUUUGCACUGUUGUCCUUUCUUGCAAGCAACGGUUUCCCCGAGUUUUACAUAGCAGCUUACAUGGUACUUUAUUUUCCUUAAUCACCUAAUCUAAAAUAGUCAUGUUUGAAUUUCAUGCCUAGUACUUACCAUUAUCUUCUAUUUUUGUUAAUUUAUGAUUUAUUGCUACUAAAAUGAAAAUUUCCUCAUAGAAGAGAAAAUAUCUGCUUUAUUUACUAUUUCCUCAAGAGUGUAGAAGAGUGACUGAUACAGUUUGAUAUUCAAAAAAUAUUUAAUGAAUGAAUAAAGCUAAUUAAAGUUUUAAACAGAUAGAUACUUUCAGAUGGUUUUGUCUUUUUAUUGCUCUUGGUGGCACUGGUUGCUUAAAGACUUUCUUGAUGCCAAAAAGUAUCAAAUGGAGUCAAGUUCCCAUUAUGUAUGUUAGUGGUCCUUGAAAAUGUGCAUUGUACAAUCUGUGUAAAAUUGCAAGAAAUAUUUCACCAAUUAAUCAGACAUGUGGCAUAUUCCUAAACAUAACUGUGGUAAGCUACAUGAAAAUAAAACUUCAGAGGAAGUCUACUGAAUUGUUAAAGGUUGCAGUGUACUUCAGAAUAACAUUUAAAACAUUUUUUUCCAACCUGAAAGAUGACAGUAAUAUAGUGAAUGUUAAAAAGCAUAAUGUAAUGUUGAAAAAAAACAAAAAAUCAUAUUUAUUUAUUUAUUUACUUUUGAGAUGAAGUCUUGCUCUGUCAUACAGGCUGGAGUACAGUGAUGCAAUCACAGAUCACUGCAACCUCUGCUUCCCAGGUCCAAUCCUAUCACCUCAGCCUCCCAAGUAGGCGGGUGAGACUACAGGGGUGUGCUACCAUGCCCAGCUAAUUUUUCUAUUUUUUGUAGAGAUGGGGUUUUGUCAUGCUGGUCAGGCUGGUCUUCCUGACCUCAAAUGAUCUGCCCAACUCGGCCUCCCAAAGUGCUGGGAUUACUGGCAUGAGCCACUAUGCUCAGUGUUAAGAUUAAAAAAAAAAAAAAACAAACCCAAUAUAGAAAAGCUGUUUUAGAGAGUCAAUGCUAGCAGUGGUGACUGAUAUAUUUUGGUUACUUUUUACUCUCUGUGCUUAGGAUUUUUUUCAUGUCAAAGCAAUCAUACUGGGCACAAUUUUGGAUCCUGCUAUCUUAAUCUGGGCUGGUAUAACCUAAGUACCAUAAACCGGGUGACUUAAACAACAGAAAUUUAUUUCUCACAGUUCUGGAGGCUGGGAAAUCAGAGAAGAGAGUGCUAGCAUGAUUGGCACAAAUCAGGCCCCCUUCCUAAUGUGUAGUUAGUUGUCUGUUUUCUUGUAUCCUCACAUUGUGAAGAGCAAGAAAGAGGGGAAGCAACCUGUCUAGUGUCUAUUCUUGUAAAGGCACUAAUUUCAUGAGGGCUUCACCCUCAUUACUUAAUUGUCCCCCAAAGGCCCCACCUUCUAUCAUGUCAUUGGGGAUUAGGGUUUCAACAUAUGAAAUUUUGUGUGGAGGGAGGGAGGACACAAACAUGCAGUCUAUAUACGCUUCUUAGUUUUUUGAGACAAGAUCUUGCUCUGUUGCCUAGGCUGGAGUGCAGUGAUGUGACCUCAGUUUACUGCAGCGUCUACCUCUUAGUCCCAAGUGAUCAGCUCACCUCGGUCUCCUGAGUAGCUGAAAUUACCAGCACAAACAUCACAGUCAGCUAAUUUUUAAAUUUUUGUAGAGAUGAGGUCUCACUAUAUUGCCUAGGCUAGUCUCUAACUCCUGUGCUCCAGUGAUCCUCCCACCUCAGCCUCCCAAAGUGCUGUGGUAACAGUAGUGAGUCAUUGUGCCUGGCCUAAAACGCUCUUUUAACUUAGAAAAUAAACAUUUUCCAUUAGAAAGACUAGUUCAGUGGCUUUUUAAAAGAGCUAGAUAAUAUUCCACUAAACAUAUAACAAUUGAUCAAACUUAUUAUUGUACGUAAUACUGCAACAAACUUUUUACCAUUGUAGGUAUUACUACAAAUAACAUCUUUGCCGUAAAGCGCUUUAAGGGCAAUUUAAACGUUUACAACAUUCAUUCAAAUUAUAUUUCUUAAGGGAAAGGCAGGAAAACAAAACAAGGUCCCAGCUCUGGCAGAAUUUAUAGUCUAAUUAGGAAAACAGUAUAUGUUAGGGAAAAAAAAAAAAAAUUACAAUGAAAGCAUAUGACACACUUGUUCAGAAAAAGCAGAAAUGUCUUAAAGGAAAAACUAAUAACAUUUUGCAAAAAAGUAUGGCCUGAAUUGCAAAAAAGUUAUAUUAUCUUAAUGGCUGAAAGAGUUCCAGGUCACUGUGGGUAGCGUAACUUUUUGUUGGUCUUGAAAGCACUUGAGAAUCGUUCUCACUCAGGACAUUUCGACUGAUGAUAAAGCCCUAAAGGAAGCAACCAAGACUUUCUCAAAGAUUAUGCUCCUAAUUUCCUUGCUGAAACUACUGAAUUUCUUUUACUCUCCAUCUUCUAUUUUUUCUUCCCUUUCAUUAUUGUCCCCUUUGUAACUUUGUUAAAGAUACCCACUUAUUUUAAGUAAUGGAAAUGGAAAUUAUUCUACUUUAAGGCAGGCAACCAAUAGAUAGCAAUAUUAUUCUACAAAAUAAGAAAGACUGGAUGGCACUACCUUAAAACAUAUAUGCAUUUUAAGCAUUAAAAAGAUUUUUCAAAUGUAAUAUAGAAAUGUGUGAAACAGAACGUUAAAGAAUAUUAACCAAGAAUUAUUUAUCAACUUGCCAUACACCAAAUAAGGAACACAGAACUC
This is a long non-coding RNA of Callithrix jacchus (white-tufted-ear marmoset), 4231 nucleotides long. NCBI's taxonomy places the organism in Eukaryota, Metazoa, Chordata, Mammalia, Primates, Cebidae. The record is from Ensembl.